AUGGCACCACAGCAUACACAACCCCCUCCAUUUGCUGUCAUUCAUAACGUUUUCCAUGUUUCUCAACUGAAAUUGUUUCCCAAUCCACAAGGCCAAACUGUACAGCAUAUCCCAGACGAAACGCAAGUUAUUGCCAAAAUUCAUAUUGCAAUUCUUGACAGAAAAAUGGUGAAACGUGGACGAAUUGUUGCUACAAAUUCUGAGACUGAUUGUUGUGUGGUGACUUGUGAGUGGUUGUUUUCAUAG
Non-coding RNA from Vicia faba (fava bean), 246 nucleotides. The record is from the annotation of a GenBank genome assembly. Lineage: Eukaryota; Viridiplantae; Streptophyta; Magnoliopsida; Fabales; Fabaceae.